UGGCUUAGCGGCGGACGGGUGAGUAACGCGUGGACAACCUGCCCUAUGCAGGGGGAUAACAUCCGGAAACGGGUGCUAAUACCGCAUAAGCGCACAGUACCGCAUGGUACGGUGUGAAAAACUCCGGUGGUGUAAGAUGGACCCGCGUCUGAUUAGCUUGUUGGCGGGGUAGGGGCCCACCAAGGCGACGAUCAGUAGCCGGCCUGAGAGGGUGGACGGCCACAUUGGGACUGAGACACGGCCCAAACUCCUACGGGAGGCAGCAG
This 266-nucleotide ribosomal RNA is filed under the name uncultured bacterium. Its description in RNAcentral is "partial 16S ribosomal RNA". It matches the Rfam family "Bacterial small subunit ribosomal RNA", at positions 88 to 354 of the family's 1533-position model. The record is from RNAcentral.